Molecule: ribosomal RNA, 468 nt
Filed under: uncultured bacterium
Lineage: Bacteria
Description: partial 16S ribosomal RNA
Rfam family: Bacterial small subunit ribosomal RNA
Source: RNAcentral
GACGAACGCUGGCGGCGUGCUUAACACAUGCAAGUCGAACGGAAAGGCCCUGCUUUUGUGGGGUGCUCGAGUGGCGAACGGGUGAGUAACACGUGAGUAACCUGCCCUUGUCUUUGGGAUAACUUCAGGAAACUGGGGCUCAUACCGGAUAGGAGCUCCUGCUGCACGGUGGGCGUUGGUAAGUUUCGGCGGUUGGGGCUGGACUGGCGGCUUAUCAGCUUGAUGGUGAGGUAGUGGCUUACCAAGGUUUUGAAGGAUAGCCGGCCUGGGAGGGGGACCGGCGUCAAUGGGACUGAGGGAGGCAGCAGACUGCAACGGGACGCAGCAGGGGGGAAUAUUGCACAGUGGGCGGGAGUCUGUGACAGCGGCGCUGCGUGCGUAAAGACGGCUUUCGAGGGGUGAACCGCUUUCGACUGUGAUAAGGCGGGAGUGACGGUAAUGGGUAAAGAAGCACCGGCUAACUACGUG